UACGAAGGGGGCUAGCGUUGCUCGGAAUUACUGGGCGUAAAGCGCACGUAGGCGGAUUGUUAAGUCGGGGGUGAAAUCCUGGAGCUCAACUCCAGAACUGCCUUCGAUACUGGCGAUCUCGAGUCCGGGAGAGGUGAGUGGAACUGCGAGUGUAGAGGUGAAAAUUCGUAGAUAUUCGCAAGAACACCAGUGGCGAAGGCGGCUCACUGGCCCGGUACUGACGCUGAG
RNAcentral lists this ribosomal RNA (228 nucleotides) under uncultured bacterium. RNAcentral describes it as "partial 16S ribosomal RNA". It matches the Rfam family "Bacterial small subunit ribosomal RNA", at positions 524 to 750 of the family's 1533-position model. The record is from RNAcentral.